AGAGAUCAUAUGAUCUGUAAGCCUAAAAUAGUUACCAUAAGGCCCUUUACAGAAAAAAUUGUCUGACCCUGCUUUUACAAGGCUUAUAGUUCUCAUAUAACACUGUGGGGUAAGCAGAGAAGUGGUGUUUCUCUUUUUCACAUGUGAAAAAAGAGACUUUGAGAGAAAAAGUGAAUCAAUUAAUGCCACAUAGCUUUAAAACAAAAAAAAAGGAAUUUAUACUGGAGCCCAAACUGCAAGUGACAUUGUCUUAAUCCCUACCCAAGUUUGUAUACUUUGGUUAAACAGUACACAAAUAAUGGAUCAAGUGGUGUGAGGGAGAUUAGCAAAUAGGUUAUAAAGCCAAAGCAAGGGAGAACAGUUUAUAAAUGCAGGAACCCAAACAUCUGGGCCACUAGAGUAAACAUUCUUGUACUUUCAAAAUAUACAAGAGGCAAUGUGAUUAGUAACAAGCAUAAAGGAAAUCUUCCAACUCACCAGUGAGUAAAGAAGUACAAGAAGAUUUUAAUGAGAUACUACUAUUCAUUCUAAAUUAGCAAAAAUGUUAGAUAAUCACGUCUGAUAGAGGUGAUGUGCUGAAACUGGAAUAGUUACUUACAGAUUGCUUAUAGUAAUGUAAAGUCAUUACAGAUACCCCAACAAGAAUCAGUAUCACUGAUUCUUGUUGAUGUAUGACAGAAAACCACAAAAUUCUGAGAGCAAUUAUCCUUCAAUUAAAAAAAAUAAAAAAGCAGACACUAUAAUUGAAAAGGAAAAAAAGAAACAACUUACCUCAUUAAAUACUAACUGUGGGGUCCUGGGCGCCGCCAUCUUGGGGAACUGAGUGGCCCAAUGAGACGCUGCCCUGUGGGGAACGCAGGGCACGCACACGCAGGCGGGGCUCACUAGGUCACGGCUAUGGAGGCGCCUGCAGUCCACCUGCUGCCGUUGCUGCUGCUGUUUGUGCCCUGGGCCCUGGAGCCAGGCAGCACCUCUGCGGAGGCUCCGCCACUGGUCAACGAAGAGGUGAGGCGUACGGUGGACCUGAGCAGCCACCUGGCCAAGGUGACAGCCGAGGUGGUCCUGGCUCACGCGGGCAGUGACUCCUCGCCCCACGCUGCCUCCUUCCUGGUAGCGCUGGAGCCCGAGUUGGAGGCCCAGCUGGCACACCUCGGCGUGCAGGUGACGGGAGUGGAUGAGGAAACCAACAGUCUGGAAGUACAGGAGACCAAAAUUAACGGCAAAAGCGGGAGAUUCUUCACAGUCCAACUCCCAGUUGCUCUCGAUCCUGGGGCCGAGGUUUCAGUCGUUGUGGAAGCCAUUUAUACCCACGUGAUUCAGCCGUAUCCAACCCAGAUCACCCAGUCUGAGAAACAGUUUGUGGUGUUUGAGGGGAACCAUUAUUUCUACUCUCCCUACCCGACCAAGACGCAAACCAUGCGUGUGAAGCUCGCCUCCCCAAACGUGGAGAGCUAUACCAAAUUGGGCAACCCCAUGCGCCACAACAAUCUCCUGGAUUACGGCCCUUUCCACGACAUCCCUGCCUAUAGUCAGGAUAGUUUUAAAGUACAUUCUGAGAACAACAGCCCUUUCCUGACCGUCACCAGCAUGACCCGAGUCAUCGAGGUCUCACACUGGGGUAAUAUUGCUGUGGAAGAAAACGUGAACCUGAAGCACACGGGGGCUGUGCUGAAGGGGUCUUUUUCGCGUUAUGAUUAUGACGGAUGGAUAGAUAGUGGCAUCUCCUCCAUCCGUUCUUUUAAGACCAUCCUUCCUGCCUCUGCCCAGGAUGUUUAUUACCGGGAUGAGAUUGGCACCAUUUACACCAGACACCUCCUUAUUUUGGAUGACUCGGUGGAGAUGGAAAUGAAGCCUCGUUUCCCUCUCUUUGGCGGAUGGAAGACUCAUUACAUCAUUGGCUACAACCUCCCAAGCUAUGAGUACCUCUAUAAUUUGGGAGACCAGUAUGUGUUGAAGAUGAGGCUUGUGGACCACGUGUUUGAUAAACAAGUGAUAGAUUCUCUGACUGUGAAGAUCAUCCUCCCUGAAGGGGCCAGGAGCAUCCAGGUGGACAGUCCCUAUGAGAUCAGCCGAGCCCCCGACGAGCUGCACUAUACCUACCUGGACACGUUUGGCCGUCCUGUGAUUGUGGCCCACAAGAAAAACCUGGUGGAAGAGCACAUUCAGGACAUCAUGGUGCACUACACCUUCAGCAAGGUGCUCAUGCUACAGGAGCCCCUGCUGUUGGUGGCCGCCUUCUCCAUUCUGUUCUUCACCAUCAUCAUCUAUGUCAGGCUGGACUUAUCCAUCACAAAGAAUCCAGCUGCAGAAGCCAGGAUGAAGGUGGCUUGCAUAACAGAGCAGGUCUUGACCCUGGUCAGCAAGAGACUAGGUCUCUACCAUCACUUUGACAAGACGGUCAGUAGAUACAAACAGUCCCGGGAUGUGUCCAGCCUCAAUAGUGGCAAGAAGAGCCUGGAAACUAAGCACAAGGCUUUGACCAGCGAGGUGGCAGUGCUGCAGUCCAGGCUGAAAACUGAGGGCUCCAACCUGUGCGACAAAGUGAGCGAAAUGCAAAAACUGGACACGCAGGUCAAGGAGCUGGUCCUGAAGUCAGCAGUAGAGGCCGAGUGGCUGGUGGCCGGCAAGCUCAAGAAAGACAUCUACAUCGAGAAUAAAAAGCUCAUUUCAGGAAAGCGACGGGAGCUGGUCAGCAAGAUUGAACACAUCCUGGAUACCCUGUAGCCCUCCAGAGGGCAGGGUGGGCAGUGAACAUGGAGGCCAGCAGAUUAUGGCUUCUGUAUUUUGCCAAAGGUCUUCAAGGAAGAGAGAAGCCAGGCCUUGCCUCAAGCAACACAAGAAGCUUAGUUUUUAUCCCUAAAAUGUUCUUAAAAAACAAAACAAAACACCUAGAUAUCAUUUAAAACAAAAUAUCUUUGAAUUUUGAACAAAGAAGUUUUUGAGUUGGCUUUGUUUGUUCUGAAGCCUAGGAUAUUCUUUUCACCUCAAGCCCCUUGUUUUACACCCUUCUAAUUCCUGAGAUUUGGAUAUUUUACAAGCAUGUGUAUGUUUUUUAAAGCACAUAUGACCAAAUGAAAAUAAAGCUAAGGCUGUAAAAAAAAAACAAACUCUA
Molecule: RNA transcript, 3112 nt
Organism: Capra hircus (goat)
Lineage: Eukaryota; Metazoa; Chordata; Mammalia; Artiodactyla; Bovidae
Gene name: dolichyl-diphosphooligosaccharide--protein glycosyltransferase subunit 1 pseudogene
Exons: 1
Source: RefSeq, a predicted model, not a curated record